Molecule: ribosomal RNA, 490 nt
Filed under: uncultured bacterium
Lineage: Bacteria
Description: partial 16S ribosomal RNA
Rfam family: Bacterial small subunit ribosomal RNA
Source: RNAcentral
GAUGAACGCUAGCUACAGGCUUAACACAUGCAAGUCGCGGGGCAGCAUGGGGGUUGCUUGCAAUUCCCGAUGGCGACCGGCGCACGGGUGAGUAACGCGUAUCCAACCUGCCCUUCACCACGGGAUAACCCGGCGAGAGUCGGAUUAAUACCGUAUGUUGUCCAUUGACGGCAUCCGAUUUGGACGAAAGGUUUGGCGGUGUUGGAUGGGGAUGCGCCCGAUUAGAGGGACGGCGGGGUGUCAGCCCACCGUGGCGACGAUCGGUAGAGGUGCUGUGAGGAAGGUCCCCCACACUUGAACUUCGACACGGUCCAGACUCCUACGGGAGGCAGCAGUGAUGAAUAUUGGUGGAUAGGCAUAAGCCUGAACCAGCCAAGUAGCGUGCAGGGUGACGGCCAUAUGGGUAGUAAACUGCUUGUGUGCGGUGAUAAAGUAGCCCACGUGUGGGUUUUUGCAGGUACCUCAUCAAUAAGAACCGGCUAAUUCCGUG